CAGCAAUGACCUCGCGCGGUUGGAUGGACCGAUGUUCGAUUAGCUUGUUGGUGGGGUAAUGGCCUACCAAGGCGACGAUCGAUAGCUGGUCUGAGAGGAUGAUCAGCCACACUGGGACUGAGACACGGCCCAGACUCCUACGGGAGGCAGCAGUGGGGAAUAUUGGACAAUGGGCGCAAGCCUGAUCCAGCAAUGCCGCGUGUGUGAAGAAGGCCUUCGGGUUGUAAAGCACUUUUAUCAGGAGCGAAAUACCACGGGUUAAUACCCUAUGGGGCUGACGGUACCUGAGGAAUAAGCACCGGCUAACUUCGUGCCAGCAGCCGCGGUAAUACGAAGGGUGCAAGCGUUAAUCGGAAUUACUGGGCGUAAAGCGUGCGUAGGUGGUUUUUUAAGUCUGCUGUGAAAUCCCCGGGCUCAACCUGGGAAUGGCAGUGGAUACUGGAAAGCUAGAGUGUGAGAGAGGAUGGUGGAAUUCCCGGUGUAGCGGUGAAAUGCGUAGAGAUCGGGAGGAACAUCAGUGGCGAAGGCGGCCA
Molecule: ribosomal RNA, 533 nt
Filed under: Dyella sp.
Lineage: Bacteria; Pseudomonadati; Pseudomonadota; Gammaproteobacteria; Lysobacterales; Rhodanobacteraceae
Description: bacterial SSU rRNA
Rfam family: Bacterial small subunit ribosomal RNA
Source: RNAcentral